This 386-nucleotide ribosomal RNA is filed under the name uncultured Rikenellaceae bacterium. RNAcentral's name for it is "bacterial SSU rRNA". It matches the Rfam family "Bacterial small subunit ribosomal RNA", at positions 996 to 1382 of the family's 1533-position model. The record is from RNAcentral. Lineage: Bacteria; Pseudomonadati; Bacteroidota; Bacteroidia; Bacteroidales; Rikenellaceae.
UAUGGUAGAGAUAUCAUAGCUAGCAAUAGUCUGUAUCGAGGUGCUGCAUGGUUGUCGUCAGCUCGUGCCGUGAGGUGUCGGCUUAAGUGCCAUAACGAGCGCAACCCUUGUCGUUAGUUACCAUCAAGUAAAGUUGGGGACUCUAGCGAGACUGCCACCGUAAGGUGUGAGGAAGGGGGGGGAUGACGUCAAAUCAGCACGGCCCUUACGUCCGGGGCGACACACGUGUUACAAUGGUAGGUACAGAGGGCCGCUAUCCAGCGAUGGAAUGCUAAUCUCGAAAACCUAUCUCAGUUCGGAUCGGAGUCUGCAACUCGACUCCGUGAAGUUGGAUUCGCUAGUAAUCGCGCAUCAGCCAUGGCGCGGUGAAUACGUUCCCGGGCCUU